RNAcentral lists this long non-coding RNA (1027 nucleotides) under Vulpes vulpes (red fox). RNAcentral's name for it is "lncRNA (ENSVVUG00000025154.1)". The record is from RNAcentral. Lineage: Eukaryota; Metazoa; Chordata; Mammalia; Carnivora; Canidae.
AAAACAGGAGCGGUUCGCCCUAUAAGGAAAUUCCCCGCCUCCCAGCCCAUCAUGCCUUGCUGCCGACUUCCGGUUCUCCAGGGUAUAAAGCGGCGGCUCCGGGCCAAAUUUCAGGAGAAGCUUUGGUGCGAGCCUCUUGACUCUUCUGACCUGGAUCGUUUUCCCUGGAAUAAAUGGUGUCAGACUCGUUGCUAAAUAGUCUGACAACCAGAGGGGACGAGCCCAUGGCUGCCGAAGGUUCCAGGUCAGCCCCCAGAGCCCGGUGAAGCCACUCUACCUCCCGCUCGCUCUUCGCGUCUCAGGUAAUCUUCGAAGCAAGGGAAGAGAAGAGUAUGCUAUCCUGUCAUGACAUUUCUUUUCAAAAUACGUGGCUUAAAGAGGAACGGAAAGAGAAGGUGAGUUUCAUGAGGACAAUGCAGAGGAACUCAUGUGUAUGCUGUGUAUGCAGUGGUUUGGAGUCACAAGUGAGGAAUACUGAGCCUGCAGAAGCCACUGUAUUAAUAGAUGAGGAAGGGAGAGAUGGAAGGACGGGAAGAGUGAGACACACACACAGACUGUUUCUAAAUAUGGUUAUUUCAACUAGAAGAAUCUUAAUUAUUUGCUCGUAAGAGUAGGCAAUUUGAUGUAGAAUCUUUUAAAGUGGCUAUGCUCUUCGAAGGGGUAUUAUGAAAACAUAAUAUGCUAUAUUUACUUCUUAAUUCUCUUUUUGUACCCUCUAAUAGUAUUCUUUAUACAAUUGAAAAUCCACUCACACCUGAUUAGGAGUUCCAUGGAUAGCAGCAAACUCCAUCUCUGUCGGUUUCUCAAGAUUAUUAGAUGGUUUUUAUUUUUCUUAGAAACCAUGGAAGUACUACUUGGAUAUUUUAUUUUUGCCAACAAGAUAAUGUACUUAUUUAGUAACUAGUGACUUUUGAAGAAACACUUUCAAGCAUAUUAAAAUAUUUUUAUUGUUUACAUUUAAAAUCUACAUGAAUAUCAUUUAAAUUUUGUGAUAUCUAUUUCAAGUGUGGUUGCAAUAAUAGAAAAG